Molecule: ribosomal RNA, 500 nt
Filed under: uncultured bacterium
Lineage: Bacteria
Description: partial 16S ribosomal RNA
Rfam family: Bacterial small subunit ribosomal RNA
Source: RNAcentral
GACGAACGCUGGCGGCGUGCUUAACACAUGCAAGUCGAGCGGGUCUGCCCUGUUUUUUGCGGGGUGGGUCAGUGGCGAACGGGUGAGUAACACGUGAGUAACCUGCCCCUCACUUCUGGAUAACCGCUUGAAAGGGUGGCUAAUACGGGGUGUUCUGGCUGUGCCGCAUGGUGUGGCUGGGAAAGAUUCACUUUUGUGGUGUUUUGGUGGGGGAUGGGCUCGCGGCCUAUCAGCUUGUUGGUGGGGUGAUGGCCUGCCAAGGCUUUGACGGGUAGCCGGCCUGAGAGGGUGGGCGGUCACACUGGGACUGAGAUACGGCCCAGACUCCUGCGGGAGGCAGCAGUGGGGGGUAUUGCACAAUGGGCGGAAGCCUGAUGCAGCGACGUCGCGUGAGGGAUGGAGGCCUUCGGGUUGUGAACCUCUUUCGCCGGUGAAGAAGGUCCUGCUCUUUGUGGUGGGGUUGACGGUAGCCGGGUUAUGAAGCGCCGGCUAACUACGUG